Molecule: ribosomal RNA, 402 nt
Filed under: uncultured bacterium
Lineage: Bacteria
Description: bacterial SSU rRNA
Rfam family: Bacterial small subunit ribosomal RNA
Source: RNAcentral
UUAGGAAUCUUGGACAAUGGGCGCAAGCCUGAUCCAGCCAUGCCGCGUGAGUGAUGAAGGCCCUAGGGUUGUAAAGCUCUUUCAGCGGGGAAGAUAAUGACGGUACCCGCAGAAGAAGCCCCGGCUAACUUCGUGCCAGCAGCCGCGGUAAUACGAAGGGGGCUAGCGUUGCUCGGAAUCACUGGGCGUAAAGCGCACGUAGGCGGCUUUUUAAGUCAGGGGUGAAAUCCUGGAGCUCAACUCCAGAACUGCCUUUGAUACUGAGAAGCUAGAGUCCGGGAGAGGUGAGUGGAACUGCGAGUGUAGAGGUGAAAUUCGUAGAUAUUCGCAAGAACACCAGUGGCGAAGGCGGCUCACUGGCCCGGUACUGACGCUGAGGUGCGAAAGCGUGGGGAGCAAACA